GUGUCUUCGAGUCGUUGAUUUCACACUGCCGAGAAAAGCCUCUAGAUAGAAAAUAGGUGCCCGUACCGCAAACCGACACAGGUAGUCAAGAUGAGAAUUCUAAGGUGAGCGAGCGAACUCUCGUUAAGGAACUCGGCAAAAUGACCCCGUAACUUCGGGAGAAGGGGUGCUCUUUAGGGUUAACGCCCAGAAGAGCCGCAGUGAAUAGGCCCAAGCGACUGUUUAUCAAAAACACAGGUCUCUGCUAAACCGUAAGGUGAUGUAUAGGGGCUGACGCCUGCCCGGUGCUGGAAGGUUAAGAGGAGUGGUUAGCUUCUGCGAAGCUACGAAUCGAAGCCCCAGUAAACGGCGGCCGUAACUAUAACGGUCCUAAGGUAGCGAAAUUCCUUGUCGGGUAAGUUCCGACCCGCACGAAAGGCGUAACGAUUUGGGCACUGUCUCAACGAGAGACUCGGUGAAAUCAUAGUACCUGUGAAGAUGCAGGUUACCCGCGACAGGACGGAAAGACCCCGUGGAGCUUUACUGUAGCCUGAUAUUGAAAUUCGGCACAGCUUGUACAGGAUAGGUAGGAGCCUUUGAAACGUGAGCGCUAGCUUACGUGGAGGCGCUGGUGGGAUACUACCC
RNAcentral lists this ribosomal RNA (624 nucleotides) under Staphylococcus aureus. Its description in RNAcentral is "partial 23S ribosomal RNA". It matches the Rfam family "Bacterial large subunit ribosomal RNA", at positions 1580 to 2205 of the family's 2925-position model. The record is from RNAcentral. Lineage: Bacteria; Bacillati; Bacillota; Bacilli; Caryophanales; Staphylococcaceae.